RNAcentral lists this ribosomal RNA (497 nucleotides) under uncultured bacterium. RNAcentral describes it as "partial 16S ribosomal RNA". It matches the Rfam family "Bacterial small subunit ribosomal RNA", at positions 28 to 507 of the family's 1533-position model. The record is from RNAcentral.
GAUGAACGCUGGCGGCGUGCCUAAUACAUGCAAGUCGAGCGAACAGAUAAGGAGCUUGCUCCUUUGACGUUAGCGGCGGACGGGUGAGUAACACGUGGGUAACCUACCUAUAAGACUGGGAUAACUUCGGGAAACCGGAGCUAAUACCGGAUAACAUUUGGAACCGCAUGGUUCUAAAGUGAAAGAUGGUUUUGCUAUCACUUAUAGAUGGACCCGCGCCGUAUUAGCUAGUUGGUAAGGUAACGGCUUACCAAGGCGACGAUACGUAGCCGACCUGAGAAGGUGAUCGGCCACACUGGAACUGAGACACGGUCCAGACUGCUACGGGAGGCAGCAGUAGGGAAUCUUCCGCAAUGGGCGAAAGCCUGACGGAGCAACGCCGCGUGAGUGAUGAAGGGUUUCGGCUCGUAAAACUCUGUUAUUAGGGAAGAACAAAUGUGUAAGUAACUGUGCACGUCUUGACGGUACCUAAUCAGAAAGCCACGGCUAACUACGUG